This 99-nucleotide non-coding RNA is filed under the name Comamonadaceae bacterium. RNAcentral describes it as "SAH sequence". It matches the Rfam family "SAH (S-adenosyl-L-homocysteine) riboswitch aptamer". The record is from RNAcentral. Lineage: Bacteria; Pseudomonadati; Pseudomonadota; Betaproteobacteria; Burkholderiales; Comamonadaceae.
UCCCCCAAGGAGCGUUGCAGCGGGCCCGUGCCGGCCCGUCAGGCUUGGGGCUGCCAUGGGCCCGGCGCCCUGUGCCCUUCGCAACGACGCUCGCCUGUU